This 404-nucleotide ribosomal RNA is filed under the name Bacillota bacterium. Its description in RNAcentral is "Firmicutes bacterium partial 16S ribosomal RNA". It matches the Rfam family "Bacterial small subunit ribosomal RNA", at positions 355 to 776 of the family's 1533-position model. The record is from RNAcentral. Lineage: Bacteria; Bacillati; Bacillota.
UGGGGAAUAUUGGACAAUGGGCGCAAGCCUGAUCCAGCCAUGCCGCGUGAGUGAUGAAGGCCUUAGGGUUGUAAAGCUCUUUUGUCCGGGAAGAUAAUGACUGUACCGGAAGAAUAAGCCCCGGCUAACUUCGUGCCAGCAGCCGCGGUAAUACGAAGGGGGCUAGCGUUGCUCGGAAUCACUGGGCGUAAAGGGCGCGUAGGCGGACUUUUAAGUCGGAGGUGAAAGCCCAGGGCUCAACCCUGGAAUUGCCUUCGAUACUGGGAGUCUUGAGUUCGGAAGAGGUUGGUGGAACUGCGAGUGUAAAGGUGAAAUUCGUAGAUAUUCGCAAGAACACCGGUGGCGAAGGCGGCCAACUGGUCCGAAACUGACGCUGAGGCGCGAAAGCGUGGGGAGCAAACAGG